GUUUAUUUUUCUCACUGGUGUUUGGGAAUAGAGUAUUCUGAUAUUUUGCACAAUGUGAAAUUUCUGUGUCUUAAGUAAAUCAGGCUUCAUUAAAGUGAAUUUCACUUCCUCUCUUAAGACGGCAAAAUUACAUUAGUUAAAUGUAGGAUUUGACAAACUGUUUUAAGUAGUUAAUAUUGCACUGUUUUGGGGAGCAAGCUAAUAUAUCUGUUUUACUGUAUUGCCUCUCGCAUUUCUAAAAGCUUAUAUUUAUCUCAAAUAUUUGUUAUAUUCUCUACCAGCAUUGUUGGGGAGGUCAGUUUUGACUCAGGCUUAGAUGGCAAGUCAGUACACUGCCUCGUUACUGCACAGUAUGUUUUACAAAUAAACAAAGCUUUCAGCAUGUCUGAUGAGAAUCAAACAUUUCAUGAUUUUCAACAUUUCUCAGCUGACCUCAACAACAUGCCAAAAGAGUAGCUUUCAUUCUUUCAAUCUUUACAUUUGGCACCUACUUACUAAAUUAUCUUAAUUCUGUUAAUUACUUACUGUAGAUAAAUAUUUGGUCUUACUCUUAAACCAUUAAAAAUUAAUAGAACUGACACAAUAGCUACCAAUGUGUACAUAACAACAUACUAGCCACCGAAAUGUUUCUUUUUGUACAAAUUCUUUACUUUAAAUUGACUCUCAGCCAGGGAUGAGACACUAGGAACACAGAUGGAGUCCUAUCUCAGAGUCAAAAGCCUUCUGUUUUUCAUAACUCAAGAUUCAUGGCUGUAAGUAGUGAGGCAAAGCUCUUGGCUGGUCAAGAACAGUGGAAAAUAAUGCAGUGCAUUAGGGAUCCAGAAAUAUUGACGCCAUUGUUAUGAGCACCUAUGAGCACAGAAUUGGUUUUAUACAUUACCAUAACAGAUUGUUGGUGUAUUUUAGGCGCUGAAAAAUACUACUUCCCUCAAAUAACAGUCUUCUGCUCAUUCGUUAGUUUUAAUCACCAGAGAGACAGUGGAUCAAGAGACAGGACAUAAGGUUUUGUUAAAAUUUAGGUAUAACAUACAAGUACUGUGCCCUCUGUACUUGCAUCUUUCGCUCCGUUAUUCAUUUUGCUGUGUUGUCAUUAAUAUAGUCCUAAGCCACUCCUCUGGCUUCUCUUCUCGUGUCACCUUGAAUUUCUUUCUUUACUUAUAAAUUCAUGGAGACCCUAUAGGAAGAUAUUUGCCAAAGUAACAGAGAUGUAUAACUUUCUAAAAAAGAGUGGAAAUUAUGCCUGUCUCUUGACUUUUACAUGUAAAAUCAUUUUGUCUAUGACAAAAUUGCUUCUCCAUCCACUGUUAAUACUCUAUUAUGUUCUGUGUCUCUGUUGAAAUGCAAUAACUAUGUCUUUUCUUUGAGGUGAUACGUGUGUUAACAUGGCUCAUGAUUCAUAGAUGGUAAAGUUAGAAAGAGAUGGUUUAGAUCCACUUUCUUUCAUAAUAAAUAAAACAAUAGUGUUCGAGAAGGUUGAAGAUGAAGAAAAUGCCCAAUGACAGCAUGCCCACUUCUCUUUUCUCCAUCCCCAGAUAAAUUUAGGGUUUGGUCACAGUUAAUACCAUUAGUUUUACGGUAACUUCUGGAAUUAUUGGUUUUGUGAUGAGGAUUUUACCUUUAAACCACUGGAGACUUUGUCAAGAAACCUGCGAUAAUCUUUGUUGAACAGUUGGGCUCAAAAACCCCUGUAAUACACACAAUGGUCAUAAUAUUUCUUAUAUCUAUUUGGGCCCCCAUGAGGUCACUCCUUUGUUUUUCACCUCGCCUGCUUACUACCUUUUCUCCCUCAUUUCCUGUUAAUUGUGAAUUGCACCCCAGGUCCUGACUUGAAGUAUUAUCCUGUCUUUGACUUUGUCAUCAUGCUGCCACGUUCAUCUGCUCUUCUCUGAUCAGUUGAUGGUGUUUUCGUUCCUCUAUGGCAGAUUUUUACUUGGGCACUAUUGACAUUUUGAAUCAGGCACUUCUUUGCUGGGGUGGGAGGUGGGGUGGCUCGUAGGAUGUUUAGCCGCAUUCCUGGCAUCUAACUGCUACAUGUAAGUAGUGCUCCACCUCCCUCGCCCCUCCGGUUGCAACAAUCAAAAACAUCUCUAGACAUCGCCAGUGUGCCUCUUGGGAGAAAAAUUGCCCCUGGUUGAGGACCUCUACCUAUAGAGUUAUUGUUUUUUUACUCCUAUGCCGGAGGAACUUAUUUUUUGUUGAGUUUCUUGCCUCAGCUCUUCUAUCUGCCUCAAUUCCUCAAAACACCCAGAUAUUGGUAAGGAUUUUUUCUCCUAAGAAGGCCAGUGUUGAAGAGUGCAGUAAGCCACCCAUGAAUGCGGAGUUGGAUAAUUCUUCCUCAAGUGCCUACACCUCUUUUCUAGGCACUGGAAAGGCAGUCAAAUGGAUUACCAUUCUACUUUCAUUAAACAGUAAAAGUAGUUAUUCUUACACAUCGCUUCAACUCUUAAGCCAAAUUACCUUGAGUCGUAUCUUUAAUUUCAGGCAAAACUCUUAGCAGCAUCUUUUAAAAAUACUUUUUUAAGGACUUUAACUUUUAGAGAAAUUUUAGAUGUACAGCAACAUUGAGAGGAAGGUACAGAGAUUUCCCAUAUAUGCCCUGCCUCUCCCAUGCAUAGCCGCCCACGUGGUCAACAUCCCCCACCAGAUAGUAUGUUUUUUACCAAGGAAGAACCUGCACUGACACAUCAGAAUCACUCAAAGUCCGUAGUUUACCUUAGGAUUCACUCUUGGUCUUGUACAUUCUAUGAGUUUGGACAAAAGCAUAAUGUCAUGUAUCUCUCAUUAUAAUAUCAUGCAGAGUAUUUGCACUGUGCUAAAAAUUAUCUGUGCUCUGACUAUUCAUCUCCUUGCCAGAUCCCCCAACCUCUGGUUGCCAUUAAUGAUUUACUUUCUCCAUAUUUUUCAUUUUCCAGAAUAGCAUCCAGUUGGAACAAUGUAGCACAUAGGCUAUUCAGAUUGGCUUCCUCCACUUAGUAGUAUGCAUCUAAGCAUUCUCCAUGUCUUUUCAUGUCUUAAUUGCUCAUUUCCUUUUAGUGCUAAACAAUAUUCCAUUGUCUAAUAUUUAUCCAUUCACCUACUGAAUGAUAUCUUGGUUGCUUCCAACUCUGGCAAUUAUGAAAGCAGCAUCCUUUAAAAUAUAUCCAUUUUGUUAUCCUGUCUUACUAUAUGAUCAGAAGUUUCUUUAUAUACCAUCUGUUGAGCUUGGAAUUUAUCAUUGGAGCAGUUAUAUAUCUUCUAGUUUCAGAAUAGUCCUCUAAAGCCCGUUUAAAACAUAGUCUACCUGUAGUGUUGGUAGAUUUUCGCUGCCACAGGCUACAGUGCAUCUAACAAUUUGGAUGCCAGCACUGUCUGUCUACUUGCCAGGGUGGAGGAGGCAGAUGCUCACAGGCCAUGAAAUCGCUAGACAGUUCCCACAGGGACUUGUGAAGGGGAGAAAAGUUG
Long non-coding RNA from Equus caballus (horse), 3441 nucleotides. The record is from Ensembl. Lineage: Eukaryota; Metazoa; Chordata; Mammalia; Perissodactyla; Equidae.